Molecule: transfer RNA, 88 nt
Filed under: Threskiornis aethiopicus (Sacred ibis)
Lineage: Eukaryota; Metazoa; Chordata; Aves; Pelecaniformes; Threskiornithidae
Description: tRNA-Ile
Source: RNAcentral
GGAAAUAUACCUUAAGGAAAUGUGCCUGAACACUAAAGGGUCACUAUGAUAAAGUGAACAUAGAGGUAUACCAGCCCUCUCAUUUCCU